UACGUAGGGGGCUAGCGUUGUCCGGAAUCAUUGGGCGUAAAGAGCGUGUAGGCGGCCCGAUAAGUCCGCUGUGAAAGUCCAGGGCUCAACCCUGGGAUGCCGGUGGAUACUGUCGGGCUCGAGUCCGGAAGAGGAGUGUGGAAUUCCUGGUGUAGCGGUGAAAUGCGCAGAUAUCAGGAGGAACACCAAUGGCGAAGGCGACUACCUGGCCUGUUUCUUGACGCUGAGGCGCGAAAGCUAGGGGAGCAAACGGG
This 254-nucleotide ribosomal RNA is filed under the name uncultured bacterium. RNAcentral's name for it is "partial 16S ribosomal RNA". It matches the Rfam family "Bacterial small subunit ribosomal RNA", at positions 524 to 776 of the family's 1533-position model. The record is from RNAcentral.